RNAcentral lists this ribosomal RNA (292 nucleotides) under uncultured bacterium. RNAcentral's name for it is "partial 16S ribosomal RNA". The record is from RNAcentral.
GGACUACUGGGGUAUCUAAUCCCGUUCGCUACCCACGCUUUCGUGCUUGAGUGUCAGGAACGCGCCAGUACAUUGCCUUCGCUUUCGGUGUUCCCCAUGAUAUCAACGGAUUUCACCCCUACACCAUGAGUUCCAUGUACCUCUCACGCCCUCGAGUCGUACCGUUUCGCCCGCAUCUCCACGGUUGAGCCAUGGUUUUUAACGGACGACUAAUACGACCACCUACGCACUCUUUACGCCCAGUAAUUCCGGGUAACGCUUGGGGCCUCUGUAUUACCGCGGCUGCUGGCAC